UAAGGAAUAUUGGUCAAUGGACGCAAGUCUGAACCAGCCAUGCCGCGUGAAGGAAGACGGCCCUACGGGUUGUAAACUUCUUUUGUACGGGAAAAAACCACCGGUCGUGAACCGGUGCUGAUGGUACCGUAAGAAUAAGCAUCGGCUAACUCCGUGCCAGCAGCCGCGGUAAUACGGAGGAUGCAAGCGUUAUCCGGAUUCAUUGGGUUUAAAGGGUGCGCAGGCGGAAUGAUAAGUCAGUGGUGAAAUCCUACAGCUCAACUGUAGAACUGCCAUUGAUACUGUCGUUCUUGAGUACACUUGGAGUGGGCGGAAUGUGUCAUGUAGCGGUGAAAUGCUUAGAUAUGACACAGAACACCGAUCGCGAAGGCAGCUCACUAAAUUGUAACUGACGCUCAGGCACGAAAGCGUGGGGAUCAAACAGG
This 425-nucleotide ribosomal RNA is filed under the name uncultured Bacteroidota bacterium. RNAcentral's name for it is "bacterial SSU rRNA". It matches the Rfam family "Bacterial small subunit ribosomal RNA", at positions 355 to 776 of the family's 1533-position model. Lineage: Bacteria; Pseudomonadati; Bacteroidota. The record is from RNAcentral.